Molecule: ribosomal RNA, 497 nt
Filed under: uncultured bacterium
Lineage: Bacteria
Description: partial 16S ribosomal RNA
Rfam family: Bacterial small subunit ribosomal RNA
Source: RNAcentral
GAUGAACGCUGGCGGCGUGCCUAAUACAUGCAAGUCGAGCGAACAGACGAGGAGCUUGCUCCUCUGACGUUAGCGGCGGACGGGUGAGUAACACGUGGAUAACCUACCUAUAAGACUGGGAUAACUUCGGGAAACCGGCGCUAAUACCGGAUGAUAUCUUGCACCGCAUGGUUCAAUAGUGAAAGACGGUUUUGCUGUCACUUCUAGAUGGAUCCGCGCCGCAUUAGCUAGUUGGUAAGGUAACGGCUUACCAAGGCAACGAUGCGUAGCCGACCUGAGAGGGUGAUCGGCCACACUGGAACUGAGACGCGGUCCAGACUCCUAAGGGAGGCAGCAGUAGGGAAUCUGCCGCAAUGGGCGAAAGCCUGACGGAGCAACGCCGCGUGAGUGAUGAAGGUCUUCGGAUCGUAAAACUCUGUUAUUAGGGAAGAACAAAUGUGGAAGUAACUAUGCACGGAGUGACGGUACCUAGUCAGAAAGCAACGGCUAACUACGUG